Lactonifactor longoviformis DSM 17459 is the source of this 115-nucleotide regulatory RNA element. It matches the Rfam family "azaaromatic riboswitch aptamer (yjdF RNA)". NCBI's taxonomy places the organism in Bacteria, Bacillati, Bacillota, Clostridia, Eubacteriales, Clostridiaceae. The record is from Rfam.
AGAGGCAGAGAUAAAAACACAGUCCCGGUAGGUAGUCCGGGCGCAGCGGCGGAUAUUCAUAAAAGCGCUGUCAGUAACCUUCCUCCUUAGGUCGUCCGUUCUUUGCCGUGAAUUU